CAGCUAGUGACCAAAUGUUAAAAUGGUUGGGUAAUGAAAUAUCUGCAAGAAAACAAUCAAGACCCCACAAUUGCCAAGCACACAAACUGCAAUCAUAAGACCACAGGGGUGAUAUAUUGGUCAAACAUAAUCCCAGUAGG
Notechis scutatus (mainland tiger snake) is the source of this 140-nucleotide non-coding RNA. The record is from RefSeq and is a predicted model, not a curated record. NCBI's taxonomy places the organism in Eukaryota, Metazoa, Chordata, Lepidosauria, Squamata, Elapidae.